ACAAGAGGGAUGACAGCCGUAAGAAGAGAACUUACGACGACAGAAGCUCAGGACUUGAUGUGCAGUGGAAUCUCCAGGAGCGGCGUGUUCGAGCCGUCGUUCCGCCCCGUGUCGCACGGGCCAGUCAACCUCUGCCGACGAAUUCCGAGCGGGUGGCAUGCGCUGAGAAAUCAUGCGGCGGUUCCAAAAGUCGCAUGUUCUUGUCUCCAAGCUCCACUUGUGUUCGACCGAAGGAAGAUCCCGAGGACGCAAUGAAGAACUUUCUGGAUAUCUUUAGAGGGAUCUUCUGAGUUGGUCAAUUGAUUUUGAAACGUCUGAUCGCGGUGUUCUAGUAAAAUUGCGUCACUUAUAUUCUUUACGGAUGAUCACAACAGUAAUUUCCGUGCCUGCAACACAACUUGUAUAUCUUCUUGGUUCUUUCGGUGAAGUCACGUAGAA
Lethenteron reissneri (Far Eastern brook lamprey) is the source of this 438-nucleotide long non-coding RNA. RefSeq lists it as uncharacterized. The record is from RefSeq and is a predicted model, not a curated record. Lineage: Eukaryota; Metazoa; Chordata; Hyperoartia; Petromyzontiformes; Petromyzontidae.